This 230-nucleotide ribosomal RNA is filed under the name uncultured microorganism. Its description in RNAcentral is "partial 16S ribosomal RNA". It matches the Rfam family "Bacterial small subunit ribosomal RNA", at positions 524 to 753 of the family's 1533-position model. The record is from RNAcentral.
UACGGAGGGGGUUAGCGUUGUUCGGAAUUACUGGGCGUAAAGCGCGCGUAGGCGGACUAUUAAGUCGGGGGUGAAAUCCCGGGGCUCAACCCCGGAACGGCCUUCGAUACUGGUAGUCUUGAGUUCGAGAGAGGUGAGUGGAAUUCCGAGUGUAGAGGUGAAAUUCGUAGAUAUUCGGAGGAACACCAGUGGCGAAGGCGGCUCACUGGCUCGAUACUGACGCUGAGGUG